ACAAAUCAGUGCUUCCCCCUACCUGUGGAUUGAUUGCUGUUUGUUAAACCUUUGCCAGAACACCACUGCCUCCAAUCUUCUGUUGGAUAUAUGUGUAUCACCUUUGGGCCAUCCUGGCUAGUGGGUGGUGCCUUCUCUGUGGUAGGCAUGAAAAUGUUGGCCUUCUGAAGGGAGGCAUUUACGAGCAUUUUGUAGGUAUUCUGUGGAACCUAUUGCCAAAUUUCCUCAUGUGGGAAGCUCCCGAUAUGCCUCUUCAUUUUAGCCUCUGAGCCUCUUGCGACAAUGUCCUUUGCCAGUGGAUAGCCCUCAUGUGUAUACCAUUAGCAAAGGAGAUCAAGCCUGCCAUCUUCCUUGAUGCCCCUCUGACCCACCAGAUAAAGUAGGGCCUGAAGAUGAAGCAACAUGGUGAUCUGGAUAAAAAGUUCACAGUUAAUCUAAGUAACAGUGACUGCCCUGAGUUGGCUUCUCCAAGAAGCAGUUUCUGAGAUGGAGCUUAGUGUAGAGGAAAUUUAUUAAGGUGAAGGCAAGAGAGGAAGAAAACUUGGGCAGAAGAAGACGUUGGCCUGACAUGUCAUCCUAACAAGGCCUCUCCCUACAUGUGGGGGCGCUGAAGCUGGAACAGUCCUCCAGACUUGUCCUGACUUGCACUGAUCAGUCAUCAUGUUAUGUGGUCAUCAAAGGGCACAUGACCUUCGGCGGGGGGCCUUCUUCCACUGAGGUGAUUCCCAAAGAGGACUAAUAGGCCACCACCUUCCUACCUAUGGGAAGAUACAUCUGUGUCCUGAAGGGAGGAUAUGACUGUGGCACGGCACCCAUGAGGGCCCUUUCCUUAUGCUGCUUGGAUCUACUUAUUAUGUAUAAAUUCGGGGGGCACCCCCUACAGGAUUCUGAGCAGGUUGGCAGUCCACACACGGAAGGAGUCUCGGGUUCCUCUUCAAGUACAUCUAGAUUGUGAGUUCCUGAGACCAAGAACUUUGCCUUCUCUGCAGCGUCUGGAACAGUGCUCAGCUCGUCUGUCAUGCUCAGCUAGCACUGCUGUUGACAGCUUUCACACUGACUGUACAGAAAGAUGGUUUACUUGUAAUUCUCAGAACUAUUGCGCACUCUCACCAUAGGCAAGAUAUCACCUAGUUUAUGUAGGAGCUGCUGGCCAGAUGAUGGACAGACACAUAUGGCAUAAAGUUUCAGU
Molecule: long non-coding RNA, 1189 nt
Organism: Prionailurus viverrinus (fishing cat)
Lineage: Eukaryota; Metazoa; Chordata; Mammalia; Carnivora; Felidae
Exons: 3
Source: RefSeq, a predicted model, not a curated record